UGUUGACUCAGGUGGCCACAUGUUUUUCAUUCUGUGUGGCCAGGUCAGGCCCUGCUCAUGAACCCAACCACAAUGACAUUAACAUACUUCCGUACUCCAUUCUGUUUGUUUCCCUUUUUACAACCAUACAUUUUCUUUUAUGGCCCUUUUAACUAGGGCCAGGGAAAGAAUGAAACAACCCGUGCAAGACAUUGAUGACUAUGUAGGCCCUGGUGUUCUUUGUCUUUAAAGAAAUAUUCCAGGGCAAAGUUAACUCUUCAUAACCCCUCUGAGAUGCUUCUCAAGACACAUUUGAGGCUUGUACUAAGACUAUUCUAAUUUAAGAAUGAUAUACAAAUUUGGCAAGAAAAGGACAAAACUAUUGAGAUUUUUCUCAUGCCUAAUUUACGUGAGUGUAUAUUUCCCUACUGUAUUUCCCAUUUGGAAUCAAG
RNAcentral lists this long non-coding RNA (431 nucleotides) under Chinchilla lanigera (long-tailed chinchilla). RNAcentral's name for it is "lncRNA (ENSCLAG00000023533.1)". The record is from RNAcentral. Lineage: Eukaryota; Metazoa; Chordata; Mammalia; Rodentia; Chinchillidae.